Molecule: transfer RNA, 61 nt
Filed under: Cordylochernes scorpioides
Lineage: Eukaryota; Metazoa; Arthropoda; Arachnida; Pseudoscorpiones; Chernetidae
Description: tRNA-Leu
Source: RNAcentral
UGCAUCGGCGGGAAUUGAACCGCGGGGCAGGCGAGCAUUCUCGCCACUGAACCACCGAAGC